UACGGGGGGGGCAAGCGUUGUUCGGAAUUACUGGGCGUAAAGGGCUCGUAGGCGGCCAACUAAGUCGGACGUGAAAUCCCUCGGCUCAACCGGGGAACUGCGUCCGAUACUGGAUGGCUUGAGUUCGGGAGAGGGAUGCGGAAUUCCAGGUGUAGCGGUGAAAUGCGUAGAUAUCUGGAGGAACACCGGUGGCGAAGGCGGCAUCCUGGACCGAUACUGACGCUGAGGAGCGAAAGCCAGGGGAGCAAACGGG
RNAcentral lists this ribosomal RNA (253 nucleotides) under uncultured bacterium. RNAcentral's name for it is "partial 16S ribosomal RNA". It matches the Rfam family "Bacterial small subunit ribosomal RNA", at positions 524 to 776 of the family's 1533-position model. The record is from RNAcentral.